UACAGAGGUCUCAAGCGUUGUUCGGAUUCAUUGGGCGUAAAGGGUGUGUAGGUGGCGCGCUAAGUCGGGUGUGAAAUUUUGGAGCUUAACUCCGAAACUGCAUUCGAUACUGGCGUGCUUGAGGACUGGAGAGGAGACUGGAAUUUACGGUGUAGCAGUGAAAUGCGUAGAGAUCGUAAGGAAGACCAGUGGCGAAGGCGGGUCUCUGGACAGUUCCUGACACUGAGGCACGAAGGCCAGGGGAGCAAACGGG
Molecule: ribosomal RNA, 253 nt
Filed under: uncultured bacterium
Lineage: Bacteria
Description: partial 16S ribosomal RNA
Rfam family: Bacterial small subunit ribosomal RNA
Source: RNAcentral